This 383-nucleotide ribosomal RNA is filed under the name uncultured Thiobacillus sp. RNAcentral describes it as "bacterial SSU rRNA". It matches the Rfam family "Bacterial small subunit ribosomal RNA", at positions 1000 to 1382 of the family's 1533-position model. The record is from RNAcentral. Lineage: Bacteria; Pseudomonadati; Pseudomonadota; Betaproteobacteria; Nitrosomonadales; Thiobacillaceae.
GAAGAGAUUUGGGAGUGCUCGCAAGAGAGCCGGAACACAGGUGCUGCAUGGCUGUCGUCAGGCUCGUGUCGUGAGAUGUUGGGUUAAGUCCCGCAACGAGCGCAACCCUUGUCAUUAGUUGCCAUCAUUUGGUUGGGCACUCUAAUGAGACUGCCGGUGACAAACCGGAGGAAGUGGGGAUGACGUCAAGUCCUCAUGGCCCUUAUGGGUAGGGCUUCACACGUCAUACAAUGGUCGGUACAGAGGGUUGCCAAGCCGCGAGGUGGAGCCAAUCCCAGAAAGCCGAUCGUAGUCCGGAUUGUUCUCUGCAACUCGAGAGCAUGAAGUCGGAAUCGCUAGUAAUCGCGGAUCAGCAUGUCGCGGUGAAUACGUUCCCGGGUCUU